AAUAUUGGGACAUAUAAAAAAAGACAACUCUGUUCCGCAGAGUAGCUGUUGACGUUAUAGUUGCGCAGGCACUUUGUUGACUCUAGAGAACUUCGGGGCAAAUCGCACAUCCCGUGACACAGACUUUGCAUUCGGAUGUCAUCCAUAUCAACUUUCAAUGCCAGUUUCUGCGCUUACCAUGGUGACUACGGGUAACGGGGAAUCAGGGUUCCAUUCCGUACAGGGACCCUGAGAAACGGCUACCACAUGCAAGGAAUGCAGCAGGCGUGCAAAUGACCCACUCCCAACGCGGGCAGGUAGUGA
Non-coding RNA from Pelobates cultripes (western spadefoot toad), 303 nucleotides. Lineage: Eukaryota; Metazoa; Chordata; Amphibia; Anura; Pelobatidae. The record is from the annotation of a GenBank genome assembly.